RNAcentral lists this ribosomal RNA (864 nucleotides) under Peribacillus simplex. RNAcentral describes it as "bacterial SSU rRNA". It matches the Rfam family "Bacterial small subunit ribosomal RNA", at positions 17 to 863 of the family's 1533-position model. Lineage: Bacteria; Bacillati; Bacillota; Bacilli; Caryophanales; Bacillaceae. The record is from RNAcentral.
UCAUGGCUCAGGACGAACGCUGGCGGCGUGCCUAAUACAUGCAAGUCGAGCGAAUCGAUGGGAGCUUGCUCCCUGAGAUUAGCGGCGGACGGGUGAGUAACACGUGGGCAACCUGCCUAUAAGACUGGGAUAACUUCGGGAAACCGGAGCUAAUACCGGAUAUGUUCUUUUCUCGCAUGAGAGAAGAUGGAAAGACGGUUUCGGCUGUCACUUAUAGAUGGGCCCGCGGCGCAUUAGCUAGUUGGUGAGGUAAUGGCUCACCAAGGCGACGAUGCGUAGCCGACCUGAGAGGGUGAUCGGCCACACUGGGACUGAGACACGGCCCAGACUCCUACGGGAGGCAGCAGUAGGGAAUCUUCCGCAAUGGACGAAAGUCUGACGGAGCAACGCCGCGUGAACGAAGAAGGCCUUCGGGUCGUAAAGUUCUGUUGUUAGGGAAGAACAAGUACCAGAGUAACUGCUGGUACCUUGACGGUACCUAACCAGAAAGCCACGGCUAACUACGUGCCAGCAGCCGCGGUAAUACGUAGGUGGCAAGCGUUGUCCGGAAUUAUUGGGCGUAAAGCGCGCGCAGGUGGUUCUUUAAGUCUGAUGUGAAAGCCCACGGCUCAACCGUGGAGGGUCAUUGGAAACUGGGGAACUUGAGUGCAGAAGAGGAAAGUGGAAUUCCAAGUGUAGCGGUGAAAUGCGUAGAGAUUUGGAGGAACACCAGUGGCGAAGGCGACUUUCUGGUCUGUAACUGACACUGAGGCGCGAAAGCGUGGGGAGCAAACAGGAUUAGAUACCCUGGUAGUCCACGCCGUAAACGAUGAGUGCUAAGUGUUAGAGGGUUUCCGCCCUUUAGUGCUGCAGCUAACGCAUUAA